AAUAAGCGGAGGAAAAGAAACCAACCGGGAUUGCCUUAGUAACGGCGAGUGAAGCGGCAAAAGCUCAAAUUUGAAAUCUGGUACCUUCGGUGCCCGAGUUGUAAUUUGGAGAGGGCAACUUUGGGGCCGUUCCUUGUCUAUGUUCCUUGGAACAGGACGUCAUAGAGGGUGAGAAUCCCGUGUGGCGAGGAGUGCGGUUCUUUGUAAAGUGCCUUCGAAGAGUCGAGUUGUUUGGGAAUGCAGCUCUAAGUGGGUGGUAAAUUCCAUCUAAAGCUAAAUAUUGGCGAGAGACCGAUAGCGAACAAGUACAGUGAUGGAAAGAUGAAAAGAACUUUGAAAAGAGAGUGAAAAAGUACGUGAAAUUGUUGAAAGGGAAGGGCAUUUGAUCAGACAUGGUGUUUUGUGCCCUCUGCUCCUUGUGGGUAGGGGAAUCUCGCAUUUCACUGGGCCAGCAUCAGUUUUGGUGGCAGGAUAAAUCCAUAGGAAUGUAGCUUGCCUCGGUAAGUAUUAUAGCCUGUGGGAAUACUGCCAGCUGGGACUGAGGACUGCGACGUAAGUCAAGGAUGCUGGCAUAAUGGUUAUAUGCCG
RNAcentral lists this ribosomal RNA (588 nucleotides) under Saccharomyces cerevisiae (brewer's yeast). RNAcentral's name for it is "partial large subunit ribosomal RNA". It matches the Rfam family "Eukaryotic large subunit ribosomal RNA", at positions 45 to 647 of the family's 3401-position model. Lineage: Eukaryota; Fungi; Ascomycota; Saccharomycetes; Saccharomycetales; Saccharomycetaceae. The record is from RNAcentral.